UCCAGCCAUCCCGAGAAGGGGAAGGGGGCCGUAAGGCUUUUUAAGUGGUUUGAUAUGGGGAUAAACCAUCAGCCGUGUAAGUAGCUGAAGGUACCAGAAAAAUAAGCACUGACUAAGUCCCUGCAGGCAGCCUUAGUAAUACGGAGGCAGCAAGCUUUAUCAGGAUUUAGUGGGUAUAAAGGGUCCGUAGGCGGAUUAAUAAGUCAGUGGUGAAAUCGGACAGAUUAACGGUCGAACUUCCAAAGAUGGCGAUAGUGUUGAGUAAGGUGGAAGUGGGAGUACUAAGUAGUGUGGCGAAGAAAUGCAUAGUUAGGAGUAAGACCACCAAUGAAGAAGGCAGCUCAGUAAAUGUUAACCGACGAUGAUGGAAGAAAGCGUGGGGAGCGAACAUGAUUAGCUACCCUGGUCGUCCACGCAAUAAAUGAUGAUUAGUCG
This 435-nucleotide ribosomal RNA is filed under the name Flavobacteriaceae bacterium N1-3R2A. Its description in RNAcentral is "bacterial SSU rRNA". It matches the Rfam family "Bacterial small subunit ribosomal RNA", at positions 387 to 819 of the family's 1533-position model. The record is from RNAcentral. Lineage: Bacteria; Pseudomonadati; Bacteroidota; Flavobacteriia; Flavobacteriales; Flavobacteriaceae.